This 77-nucleotide transfer RNA is filed under the name Patescibacteria group bacterium. Its description in RNAcentral is "tRNA-Arg". It matches the Rfam family "tRNA". Rfam says of the family: Transfer RNA (tRNA) molecules are approximately 80 nucleotides in length. Their secondary structure includes four short double-helical elements and three loops (D, anti-codon, and T loops). Further hydrogen bonds mediate the characteristic L-shaped molecular structure. tRNAs have two regions of fundamental functional importance: the anti-codon, which is responsible for specific mRNA codon recognition, and the 3' end, to which the tRNAs corresponding amino acid is attached (by aminoacyl-tRNA synthetases). tRNAs cope with the degeneracy of the genetic code in two manners: having more than one tRNA (with a specific anti-codon) for a particular amino acid; and 'wobble' base-pairing, i.e. permitting non-standard base-pairing at the 3rd anti-codon position. The record is from RNAcentral.
GCCCCCAUAGCUCAGCGGAUUAGAGCACUCGUCUUCGGAACGAGGGGUCGGGAGUUCGAAUCUCUCUGGGGGCGCCA